AGCUUUGCACAGUGGCAGUAUCAUAGGCAGUGAGGUGUAUCCGAGGCAUGAUUAUUGUUAAAACAAUUCCUUGGGCACAGUAGUGUAUGCCUGUAAUCCUGGUACUGUCUGUGCCUGAU
RNAcentral lists this small nuclear RNA (119 nucleotides) under Chinchilla lanigera (long-tailed chinchilla). RNAcentral's name for it is "U4 spliceosomal RNA (ENSCLAG00000020827.1)". Lineage: Eukaryota; Metazoa; Chordata; Mammalia; Rodentia; Chinchillidae. The record is from RNAcentral.